GGGGCUGACCGGUUUUGACAGCUUGUAGAAGGGUUAUGUAAGCAUACCGAGCCUUGCAGUGACGCUCGUAAAUCUUGGCUGCAAAAAAUUAAUUGGCGAAAAUACUUACGCUCUCGCUGCUUAAUCGAAGCACAGUAGAUUGAAGCUCAAUCCUUUCACAAGGUGAGAGGACGAGACAUCUCGCGGAUGGAGACUCCCGAUUCCGGUCCGACAACGAGGUGCUCAGCAAUUUCGGGAUAGCGACGCGGAAGCUCUGGCAACGUCGUGAAACUCAAGGAGAUAAGGUUGCG
RNAcentral lists this transfer-messenger RNA (290 nucleotides) under Bacteroidales bacterium. Its description in RNAcentral is "partial transfer-messenger RNA". It matches the Rfam family "transfer-messenger RNA", at positions 1 to 259 of the family's 374-position model. Rfam says of the family: Bacterial tmRNA, also known as 10Sa RNA or SsrA, is named for its dual tRNA and mRNA-like properties. Its role is to liberate the mRNA from a stalled ribosome. Lineage: Bacteria; Pseudomonadati; Bacteroidota; Bacteroidia; Bacteroidales. The record is from RNAcentral.